AGCGAACGCUGGCGGCAGGCCUAACACAUGCAAGUCGAACGGAUCCUUCGGGAUUAGUGGCGGACGGGUGAGUAACACGUGGGAACGUGCCCUUUGGUUCGGAACAACUCAGGGAAACUUGAGCUAAUACCGGAUGUGCCCUUCGGGGGAAAGAUUUAUCGCCAUUGGAGCGGCCCGCGUCUGAUUAGCUAGUUGGUGAGGUAAAGGCUAACCAAGGCGACGAUCAGUAGCUGGGCUGAGAGGUUGAUCAGCCACAUUGGGACUGAGACACGGCCCAAACUCGUACGGGGGGCAGCAGUGGGGAAUCUUGCGCAAUGGGCGGAAGCCUGACGCAGCCAUGCCGCGUGAAUGAUGAAGGUCUUAGGAUUGUGAAAUUCUUUCGCCGGGGACGAUGAUGACGGUACCCGGAGAAGAAGCGCCGGCUAACUUCGUGCCAGACGCCGCGGUAA
RNAcentral lists this ribosomal RNA (449 nucleotides) under uncultured bacterium. Its description in RNAcentral is "partial 16S ribosomal RNA". It matches the Rfam family "Bacterial small subunit ribosomal RNA", at positions 29 to 523 of the family's 1533-position model. The record is from RNAcentral.